UUGCGAACUGCGAACUUGUGUGACUCCCGGUUCAUCCUCUUUGUUCGGGUCAUUGGGUUGGUGUUGGAGUUUGUCACCAUAUUCUGAACGUUUCACCUAUCGUUGUGGUGUACUGUUCUUGAUCUGCUGCGAAGCGACGAACCGCAAUGGCAGUCACUCGCCUCAGCGAACUUCUGUCUGCAUCUCAAAGGAGCAUGGGGACCUGAUGAUACCUUCAACUAAAGAAACCAAAUUUGCUCUCGUGUGGUCCUGACGGAAAAGUAGUAUCAACAAGGCUAUGCCGCUCCGAAGCAUUGAGAUGACGAAGCGUCGUGGUAGCUGCACCUCUGCCUUCGAAAGAUGAAUCAGUCAUUCCACACUGUGCUUACUGGCUUUGUAUAGAGUCUGGCAAAUCCGACAGACUUGGACUACCUUUUUCAAGAAAGUUUGAAAUAGCAUCCCUUAUGCACCUGCAUUUCAAUUCCAAUCUGUAUUACAAGAAUGACAGACCACUCAACAGAGAUGAACAUCUGAAAGUGAAAGAGCUGGAAUGAAGAUAUGUUAAUCUGUGUCGAAGGUUCUUAGUAUGUGUGCGAGUCGAGGACAUAGGUCUCAAGCUUAUUCCUGUCUUCAGAAGUGGUGACAACUAUGCUCCUUCUAUCUAUUAACCAGCUCCACUUUUUAGGGUUCCCUGUAAACUAAUGGAGCACAUCAUGUACUACCACGUUGUCAACCAAGUUGAGUCUGUCGAUUUCUUUUUUUAAAUUCCAGCAUGGCUUUAGAAAAGGGUAUUCAGGCAAAACUAACAUAGUGGAAUUCGUUCACAGCAUUUCAAACUGUCUUGAUUUCUGGGUCCACGUAGAUGUAGUAUUCUUUUUAUUUUGUAAGGGCUUUUGACACUGUGCUCUACACUCUUAAACCCGUACCUUUUAUUGUAACUUUUAGAAACAUGUAACUUCUAUAUAGACGUAGAUUUCGAGAUUUCUUAUAGGUUACACCACUGUAACGUAUAUUUAGAGGUUAAAAGCGACCAAGGUCAUGUCUUUACAACACGAAUAGAAGUUACAUCUCGGAAAAAACAAAAACAUCUUGUUGUAACUUAUAAAUGUACCCUCUACUCCGACACUGUAACUUCUAAGCGAAAUCUCCAACGAUAAUCUCUUUGUUAGUUUCUUAUCGUUUGUUUUCCUUUUGUUUUUCAGCAUAAUGCUACGUUUCAGCCUCCCAUUCGAGACGACAGUUGCGAAUCUACGCUGUUAUUUUUUACACUGAUCUCUAUGUAUAAAGGCUGGAUCGCGUAUGGGAGAGGGGCUCGUGGGAGAGAGGUACGCAUUCGGGCCGCCAUGUUGGUGGGCCCUAAAACGCUGUGUGUGCCCAUUGGAAACAAUGGGAGGCAACAGAGAUUGUGAGUAUUUAUUGCGCUACAGGCGUUGAUCAUUGUUUGUCGUCACGCGAUUUUGUAAGGUGCCAGUAUACUGAUGUAUCCUAACAGUAUUUCGCAGGUGCCCUGCUUUUCGAUUCUUAAUAACGUUAUGUUUUGCAUUCCGAAACUAGACUGUCACUGCAGUGCAGCGCUGGGAAUUGUACUACAGCACGUUUCCCAGUCAAUAUUUCAAUAAGAAACGAUGUGAGGUUAACAACAACCAUGUAUAUAAUAUCCCGUGCUGCGUUCUGGACAAAAAUUUUUCCGUCACGAACGGUCCGGGAAAAGAUAUACUCGCAUGACAGAAAGAUAUCGUUCUGUAGACUCUCAGCCGUUGUUUUAGCCGUGUAUGCGUCUAGCAUGAUUUAUAUCAAGCAUCGCCGCAGAAAGAGUAUUUUAGUGAACGACAUGGGUGCCAUGCCUCGCACAUAUGGACACACCGCCAAGCAGCUCAAAUAAUUACUUCACGCAAUUCGUUCGCGCUCGUUAGAACAGUUAGUCAGGUAGUGAUGUAAGCUUAAUCAAUUAACUUACUUAGGAAGAGGUGACACCUGCUUGAGACACAGGACUUAUCUCUUUUUUGAAGUACAGCCCUUCUAUGUUUGUUUGUUGCUUCCUUCAUUUGUUCUGCGUAUUUGCAGGCGCGGUUGUGCCAAACUGAAUCCAGCACUGGCUUUGUCAUGCUUGUUAUGUGGAGCACGUUACAAAAAAUGCAGCUCCACAUCUGAAACACCAAUCAGUAUCAUCGUCAUCUAAAAGGGGCACCGUUGUGAGACCAGACACACUUUCUGGAGAUCUUCUAUGGCACUUUCCGCAGUUUGCACAAUUUUCUUCAGCAUCGUAGUCUCUCAUAGGAACCACUUUCAUUAAUGACUCCCAUCUUACCCUUUGAUGUGCAGGGGCCCUCUUGCACUACACACGUAUGGUCUGCAAAUUGCAACAGAACGAUUUGGAGCUUGAAACAGUUGUGCUUUUGUCAUUUUGGACCUCGUGUAUCCUGUCUGUGAAGCGUAAACAAAAAAGUCUAACACGAUAUGCUUUUGUAAAGAAGAUCACUGAUGAUGAGUAAAGAGAGUAUACAUUUUUCAAGUUCAACAUUUAUUUCUUGCACUUAUGCAUUUCAGGAUACAAUGAACGCGCAGGGAGGUCGCAAAAGACUACAUUUAUUGUUUUGUGACCUUCCUACAAUGACAAUAUAUAUUUUUGGGAUGACAAUGGACAGGUACACUCUCUAAAUUUGUAGCACUCAAUUUUAGGUUGGAAUGAGCAAAGAAUAGCAACUUCCCUCCUGAUAUUUUCUCAUAUAUGCUGAGUUUUAAAUUUAAUGUGAUCAACGGUAGAUGUAAACAACAUCAGUACCAGAGAAAUGCAUCCUCAAUGAAUAAAUUUCUUCUUAUAGCAUAUAUGUGCAUGCCUAUUAACUGAAAUGAUUAUCACAGUUCCCUGACAUGUUUUAAUUUCUGAGAGUGUACUGUAGAGGCUGCUUAGAUCUACAACAGUUCACACAAGGUAUUAUAUACUGUGAAUGCCUUUAAAAAUCCCAUGUGACACAUAUGCUUUUACUUUCUGGAGGUGCUGUGGUAGUCAAAGUUUGUGGGCAUUACGCAGGUUCUGCACCCAU
Ornithodoros turicata is the source of this 3023-nucleotide long non-coding RNA. RefSeq lists it as uncharacterized. The transcript is spliced from 3 exons. The record is from RefSeq and is a predicted model, not a curated record. Lineage: Eukaryota; Metazoa; Arthropoda; Arachnida; Ixodida; Argasidae.